CGAUCGGGGAUGGGCUCGCGGCCUAUCAGCUUGUUGGUGGGGUAAUGGCCUACCAAGGCGACGACGGGUAGCCGGCCUGAGAGGGCGACCGGCCACACUGGGACUGAGACACGGCCCAGACUCCUACGGGAGGCAGCAGUGGGGAAUAUUGCACAAUGGGGGAAACCCUGAUGCAGCGACGCAGCGUGCGGGAUGACGGCCUUCGGGUUGUAAACCGCUUUCAGCAGGGAAGAAGCGAAAGUGACGGUACCUGCAGAAGAAGUACCGGCUAACUACGUGCCAGCAGCCGCGGUAAUACGUAGGGUACGAGCGUUGUCCGGAAUUAUUGGGCGUAAAGAGCUCGUAGGUGGUUGGUCACGUCUGCUGUGGAAACGCAACGCUUAACGUUGCGCGGGCAGUGGGUACGGGCUGACUAGAGUGCAGUAGGGGAGUCUGGAAUUCCUGGUGUAGCGGUGAAAUGCGCAGAUAUCAGGAGGAACACCGGUGGCGAAGGCGGGACUCUGGGCUGUAACUGACACUGAGGAGCGAAAGCAUGGGGAGCGAACAGGAUUAGAUACCCUGGUAGUCCAUGCCGUAAACGUUGGGCACUAGGUGUGGGGGACAUUCCACGUUCUCCGCGCCGUAGCU
Molecule: ribosomal RNA, 627 nt
Filed under: Brevibacterium aureum
Lineage: Bacteria; Bacillati; Actinomycetota; Actinomycetes; Micrococcales; Brevibacteriaceae
Description: bacterial SSU rRNA
Rfam family: Bacterial small subunit ribosomal RNA
Source: RNAcentral